CCUUUUGAACUCACCACUACAAGACUUCUAGUAAAAAACGCCAAUUAAUUAUGGUAUCAUCAAGCUUACAAAAUACAAACGUAACUUCUAUACUCCUCCAUCAUUGGAUGAACAAAUGCAAAAUAUGAUGCUAAGUAUAUAUUGCUCUCUAUAUUAAUAAGCGUCUUUCGAAAUGUCAAAUCGAUCUAAAACUAAUUACGACAAUAAUAGAUGUUCCAGGCGAUUUUACCAUCAGUCCCGAAACGUACGCGUAGCUCAUUUGCAACUUCAUUCCAUGCCACACGCUCGUCGGCCUUACCGCAACACCAGGUGGCCUCUGUUUGAAGAUGGGGUAAAGGAACGACGACUUCCCCCUGCCCCAUAAAUAUUGUUCGCCCAGCAACCCUCAUAUAUGUCGGACCACGACACCUGUCCAGUGUGUGUUCUACAAAAUCGCACCAUCGACCUUCUGUGAGGGGGAACAUGAACAAAAAACUGCAUACCAGUAUGAUGGCAAUCAAUGGAUUGCUAAGCACCUUCAUUUUGGAAUCUGCGGAUCGAGUCGAUGUUGUCAAAAUAGAACGUCGUGGCAGCU
Non-coding RNA from Paramuricea clavata, 574 nucleotides. The record is from the annotation of a GenBank genome assembly. NCBI's taxonomy places the organism in Eukaryota, Metazoa, Cnidaria, Anthozoa, Malacalcyonacea, Plexauridae.